Molecule: long non-coding RNA, 26793 nt
Filed under: Vigna radiata
Lineage: Eukaryota; Viridiplantae; Streptophyta; Magnoliopsida; Fabales; Fabaceae
Description: long non-coding RNA (VRAD_LNC003369)
Source: RNAcentral
GUGUCAAAUUUGUGUCAUAUAGGGAUGUUAAAGAAACAUUUUAGUUUCAGAUAACAAUAGUAUCUAAACUCCCCACACGCACACCCAAACAAGAACACAGAUAACAAACCCAAACAAGAACACAGAUAACAAAAGACUGGAUCUGUUAUUGAUUUCUCUUCUCAAUGUACACACUCCAACAGAGUCCUGUCUUUAUAUGAACUCUUUUCCCGCGCCUCUCCUAACUGCCUAACUGUUAUUAAAGUUAGGUUUCUCCUUCUCAUUUAACUCUUCUUUUUCCCUCAUAAACCCUCCAUACUCUAUCAGCUAAUAAUAAGGAAGGAAGGAGAAGUUUCGUUGGUUGUGUUGUGCGUGUUUUGGUCCUUGAAAGUAAACCAGAAGAGGAAUGUGAUGUGAAAAUAUAUGGAGACAGAAGAGAAAAUUGGUCCUCUUACGUUGUCACCAUCCUAAUUAAUAACGUACCGAAAAAGAUCUCAGUGGUCACUUUCAAAUUUCAACCAACUAAGUAAAUACAUCUUAUCUUAUCCUAUUUCCUUGUCUUAUCAUGUUCUAUUUCCCUAUUUCUUUAUCUUAUCAUGUUCUAUUUCCCUAAUUAGUUUAGAUUAUGAUCAGUAUCAAUAGAAAUUAUUGGUAUAUGUUUUAUCAGCAUCUCAUCAAUACAUUACAAUUUACAAUACAUCUUGGUCUCAUAAACAAAUUUAAAAAAGAAUCAUAAUGUAAAAGGAAAAAUAAACCAUACUUGAUAGUUUGGGCAAAGAAUUAUUUGUGAAAGGUCUCAAUGGGGAAAAGAGCUAUAAGAGGAAGAAAGGGUUGUGGUUGUAGAGGGAAAACAGGAGACAACUCAUCAAUUUUAGUAGAUAUUGGAGAGCCCAGAGGCUUGUUCACAACUGCAAAUAUUAUUGGAAAUUUUCAAAUUAAGUCAAAAGCUGAAAUGCAAAAUGAAGAGCUUAAUUCUUGUUCUUUUGAAUUAAGGCUGACAUUGUAGUCACUUAAUCCUGAAUUGAUGACAUUGAAUUCUCUAAUUUUUAGAGUGAAUCCACCAAAGAAACCAGUGUUGCUGCAAGAACAAGUGUUAUUCUCAUCAAAUUAAGUUUAAACUUUGGUUAAUUUGAAGAAAUAUUAAGAAGAGAAGAGAUGAAUUUGAAUGGCGGAAACAAUAUCAAAUAGAAAAUAAGAAUUCAAAUCAAAAUUAGCUGUUGAAAAUGAAAUUGGAGAAACAUUCAAGAUCCAUAGAAAAACUCCAACAAUUCUAUAAAUUUUCCCACGAAUCAUCAUUAUUUUCAUCUACCAUAAGCAAGAUAACAAGACAAAACUGUUAUCAGUAAUAGUGUCAUCAUAUAUCUGUAAGUUAUUAUAAUGUUCGGUAAGACCAACACUCCUCGUCAACUUAAGUAUGAAUAGUAAAUUCAAACUCGGAGAAGUGCAUUCGUUACCUCAAGAUCAAGCGCCCAUAGUUUUUUUUCUCAUAUAAUUCGAGUGAUCAUACUUCUUCGCAUUUCGCAACCGCGCCACACAUUCCUCAGCUUCUGGCUUCCUUCAAACAAAACAGUUACAUCGAUGGUUAAGGAACAAAGAACAAGAAUAAAUAAAUAAAUAGAACAGAUAGUUUUUUUUUUUUCUUUUUCGCGAUUGUUUAAUUACUCGAACGAUUACACGACAUGCACGCCGUGAAAUUCGAUCGUGAAGGCCGGAGGGAACCAGGUGGAGAAUCUAAAGGUGAUGCGAUCGACGGUGAGGUCCUUGAAGAACAGGAAUGCCGAAGUGUCGAAGAGGCGGUUGAGAGAGGAAACGUCGAAGCUGAGGUUGGUAAAAACGGCAAGAGAGUGGAGGAAUCCUAAUUGUAGAUCGAGGUGAGACUCUUCUCGGAGCCAUGGCUGAAGCACAAAAAUUCUUGUUUCGUUAUGAAAAUUGCGGGAAAAAAAGAAAAAGAAAAGAGAAGAGAAGAGAAAGUAUUGCGCGAAAAGGAGACAUUCUAUACGUGUUCUAAUAUUUAACCGGUAUAAAUCAAUAAUUUAUACAUGAUAUAAUAUUAUUAGGUAUAAAAAAAGAUUUUUAUACGUAUAUUUGUUAUAAUCCAUAUAAAAAAGUUUUUUUCUAUUUAUAAAAUUAUCACUAUGCGACUAGUACAAAAUGUAUUUUUUAUAACAAUUUUUUAUACAAGUUAAAAUUCAUCAAUAUAAAACACAAUAUGAAUACGAUGACAAAAUCUCGCAGAGUGAACCCCGCAGGCCUUCGUCGCUCAGGUUAUUUAAUCUCUACACUUCCAUUCAGGGUUUCAAUCUGAGGUUCCACAUUCUCAAUUCUGCUAUCGCUACCUGUUACGGUAACCUUUUUAGUUGUUAAUUAAUGUUGAAAAUAGACAUUUUUACGUCAAUUAACGUUUGAAAAUAAUUAUUUUUUAUGUCAAUUAAUCUUUGAAAUGACCAGUUUUGACAUUAAUUAACGACUCCCGAUAUGAAGUUGGUGUUUUUUUUAACGUCAUAGCCUAUUUUUAUAUUAAUAUGUGUUUAUUUCUGUGUGUCAUUAUUUACGUGUUUUUGUAUUUGUAUGUGUUUUUGUGGGUUUAAGUUUAUGUGCGGGUUUGUAUGUAUAUGUGUGAGUCGGUGGAUAGUAGUAUACUUUAUAAUAAUUUUAAAUAAAAUAAAAUUAUUCAAAAUAUUUUCUAAAAUAUUUUAUUUUAAUAUAUUAUUACUUCUUAUAUAAAUUUUCAUUUGAUAAUAAUUUUUUAUUUUAAUUUAAAACUAUUAAAAUUCGAACUUAUAUUUUAACAAUUAGUUGUAUAUAAAAUAAGUUUUUAAAAUUUAUUUUAAAAGUGAUUAAUUUUAAUACAAACUUUUAUUUAUAUUUUACUUUUUUUCUCAUCCACACAAUCUUUAUCUCUUUUCUUACUUUUUCUUUAAUUGAAAUAAAGUUUUGAAGUUGCAUGAUUGUUUUGGCAUUAGACUCCGUGCACGUCAUGAGUAAAGUGGUUCUUCGUGUAACACAAGUUAUUUUUAUAGUUUUUUCUAAGAUUUAAACUAUAUGUUGGUCUUCAUAUUUGUUGGUGAAUUUCAUAUGAGUUCUCGUUUUUUGAUCUGAUUCAAUUGAAUCCAUAUAUUUGUAAAAUUAAGCCAAUUAAGCUUUGUUCGUUAACUUUUCAGAAACAACGUUAAAAUGUGAUGAUAGUGAAUAUGAUGAGAUGAAUAUUUUAUUAAGUGGAAAUAAUUAAAUUAUGACAUGAAAUUUAGUAAAAUAAAAAAAAAUUGAAAAAAAAAUAGAGACUAUAGUAGCAUUCUUAUUCUAAAAAUGUUACAAAAAACACACUAGAAGCUUCAUUCCUCGUCACUCACAGAGCAUUUCAUCCUCCAUUAACCUCAUCAGCCAUCAGUAGCUAUGAUCAAUCUCUCCUUGUGAACCAACACCGUGAAAACCUUUAGAAGAAGCCAAAUCGCACAAUCCCAAAUCACGACACAAAACGCGAACCACCAAUAAUGCAAUCAACACAUCACCAUCAACGAACCUGACGUCUCCUCCAUAAUAAUCACUAGAACAUCAUAAAUCGCAAAUCCUAAAUUGCGCCUUCAUCUUCCUCUGCGAAACCAAAUCUGAGGGAGAAGAAAAAUUUGCUUACCUUCCUCCAACAGGAUUUGCUGCAGCAAUUACACAACAACGUGCUUGAAGAGAUGUAACAAUUCCAGCUUUUGAUAUGCUAAUACUCUACUGCUCCAUGGCUUCAUGGAUACUCACCCUGGUAACAAAUACAUAACUUAGUCUGUCAAGGAUAAGUAGUAAGGGUGAAGAUUAAUAAUGAAAUUAAAAAAUUUCAAGCAAUUGUAGCAAACUAUUUCCUAACCUAUCUUGGUCAUUUAUUUUGUCAAACUCGUCAAUAAUACAAAUUCCUCUAUCGGCCAGAACAAGGACUCCUCCCUCAAGAGUCCACUCUCGUGUGAUUGGGUCCCUGUGAACAGUAACAUUUUGUGAGACCCACAGUUGAAGCCCCUUUUCUAGUAGUGUAUACAGCUCUUUGUCCAGUUUUUUCAACGUACCUUGAAGUACAUUUUGAAACGUUAAUUUAUUAAACACAGUUACCAGUAGACAGACAUCAACCAAAUAAACUUGAUAAAUUAUAUUUGAGAAAUUGAGACUUCGCUGUUCCUGGAUCACCUAGAACGAGAACAUUUAUGUCUCCUCGAAGUCGAUGCUUUCCUUCAACACUUUUUUCUCUGAUACAUACCUUUUCUCUGAUUCGAGGGUGUUUGGCCAAAUUUUCAAUGUCUGCAAUGUCUUCCUAUGUAAGCUUGAAUGCAGAAAAUAGGUUUUGCUUUUUCGUAACAUAAUUUGCCUCAACAAUAGUGGCAGAUACUGCAAACCCAUUCUUUGUGUUUCUGGCAACAAGUGCAGAAAGGAAAAUUGAGCUUAUUUAUCCUUUUGUCUUUCAAAUUUAAUGAGCAUGAAAUUAUUUUGCAACAUAUCAGUGGAUAAACAUCUAGUAACAAUUUGGCCCAACUGAAAUGAGGAUUAGUAUUCUGCAAGAUAUGAGCAUUCAAAUAUUUAGUUUAGACAUCCUCACUCUCAUCCUUUUCCUAAUUUGGAUACUGAAAGUAUGUACCUGUUCAAUGUUGACAGUAAAGGGUUUUGAUUUGGGGCUUUUCCUGAAUUUUUUGUGUUGUCUUGGUUGCAGGUUUGAAUCGAGACAACACGUAGAGAUUGGAGAGGUUGGAGUUUUAGAAUUCUUCAUGAUUUUGAGUUGUUGACGAAGGCACGACGUGAUGGUGAAGAAGAUGAUUUCGCCACUGCAAUUUGGGUUGCAAGUGAACUACUAGAGGAGGUGAUGGUUGCGCGAGGUGAUGGAGGCACUAUGCUAGGGUUUGGUGGAGGUGAAACUGUGGUGAUGGCAGCACUCGUGGUUCACGGUGGAACGAUGAAGUUGCUCAAGAUUCUGUGUGUUUAUGGUGGAUGUUGCGUCGCUUGCGGCAUUGGCUGCAAGAAAAGGAUAGGCAAAUGGCGUGAUUCAUUAUGUGGGUGUUGGCGGAGGAUGGUUGUCCAACGAGAUGAGUAUGGUGGUUGGCUGUGGCGGGGAGGAUGGUGGGGAAUGACACUGUUGCAGCGCCUAGCUUCACCUAAAAAAAUUUCACAUAAUAUAACACUGUUACAUCAACAUUUUAAGUGUACGCCACGUUAUGAUAGUUAGACAGCGUCAGUGAAAAUUUAACGAAAAGAACUUAAUUAACUCAAUUUUACAAGUAUAUGUACUCAAUUGAGACAAAAAAAAAAUUAAAACGAGGACCAACAUGUUUACCAACAAAUAUGAGGACCAACAUGUUUCAACAUUUUUUUCUAAUUAUGAGGAAAGAACUUGCUCAGUUUCCUAUCAGGUAUAGUAAUUGAUAUGAAAUAGGUGGAAACAAUACUUGAAAGCAAAUGUUUUAGCAAACAACUAUUAUCAUUCACUUAUUUAAUUUUAUUAUAAAAAUAUAAAUAAUUAUAACUGUUUUGGAUGGGAACCAAGACACCGAUCGCCUAUGGAUUACGAUGACAUGCUGGACUUCUUUAACUAAGUGUUUCAGGAUUCUUAUCUCUCCUUACCUGAACGGCUGCAACCUGCAAGUUAGCACUCCGACGAUCAAGUCAGCAAGGCUACAGCUAUAUUAUCAAAGUAAUGAGUAAAAAUCCAACCCUUUACCUGACUGCUUACUNNNNNNNNNNNNNNNNNNNNNNNNNNNNNNNNNNNNNNNNNNNNNNNNNNNNNNNNNNNNNNNNNNNNNNNNNNNNNNNNNNNNNNNNNNNNNNNNNNNNNNNNNNNNNNNNNNNNNNNNNNNNNNNNNNNNNNNNNNNNNNNNNNNNNNNNNNNNNNNNNNNNNNNNNNNNNNNNNNNNNNNNNNNNNNNNNNNNNNNNNNNNNNNNNNNNNNNNNNNNNNNNNNNNNNNNNNNNNNNNNNNNNNNNNNNNNNNNNNNNNNNNNNNNNNNNNNNNNNNNNNNNNNNNNNNNNNNNNNNNNNNNNNNNNNNNNNNNNNNNNNNNNNNNNNNNNNNNNNNNNNNNNNNNNNNNNNNNNNNNNNNNNNNNNNNNNNNNNNNNNGAACCCGAUCACAUUGCCGGUAUGACCGAUCAUACUACCGGUGUGACCGAUCAUUCCAAUAUGGUCGGUUACCCCAUCGUACAUAGGCCCCCCAAGCCCCAAGCGUUUGCCAAACGCGAAGGGGUUUGCAAGUUUUAGUUUCCCGCUAAUAUUUGAAUUUGAAGAUGCAAACCACCUGAGCCCUACGAUGAGCAUGAGACCAACAGUGUAGAUUGAUUCGUCAGUUUUCCGCAUAGAAAUUCGAACCGUCGUAAGCUUAGCACCGUCAGAUCAUAUUGUCAUGAACGACUGGGAUUGUAUUUCGAAACCGCUUUCUGCGGCUAUAAAUAGCGAGGUGGUCCCUGCUCAUUUGUGUGCUUCUGCGUUGCUCUGCUUGCGCUUCCCGACCCAACUCUCUGUCAGCUCGAUCGUCCUUCCAGGUACAUGUCUCUAUCUUCUCAAUCAUCUAAUAGGUCUAGGAGGGAAGGGUGGGGGUAUGAUGACGAUGGGGGAAGCACCCCUUCGUCAUCUGGGUCUAGUUCCGAUACUUCUUCCCGUUCGUCCGGGAAUAGCGUAGCUUUUAAUUAUGACAAUUCACGUAUGUGGACAUCCGUCCUUCCUCCGCCCGUAGUACAAGGAUACGACUGGGCUCCUCAUGAGGUUAAGAACUAUACCCCAUACUUUAUUUCUACCGCCUCCCUUAGGAAUUUGCUAGAGAAAGUAAAUAUCUUAGGUACUCUUAGGGACAUAGAUGAUUACACGUUCGUAGUUUGCCGAACUAAUAAGCGAGCCUGUCAUGGCCGAGAGGGUUUUCCGACCGAUUUCUUCUAUGCAUAUAUUACCUUAUUUCGCGAUCUGGGCGUUAGGUUACCCUUCUCUGAGUUUCAAAUGGGAGUGUUGAGAGAGCUGAACAUUAGUCCCGUUCAGCUUCACCCGAACGGGUGGGCUGUCAUGCAAGCCUUCACCGUGUUGUGUGAUGGCCUGGUACUCACACCAACACCGAAAGCUUUUCUUCAUUUCUUUCGUGCCCUACCCAACCCCAACCGAUCCUGGAUAUCUUUAAUUCCUGCAAAGGAUAAACAAUUAUUUUCUCCUUUCAAUUCCUCAUAUAAGGAAUUUAAGUCCAACUUCUGCAAAAUAGCCAUCCGAGAUACCGGUCGGUCAAAAUACUUUUUUGACAAUGGCCAACCAAAAUCCCAACAGAGUAGACUCCUGGCCGAAAACAGAUAUGACCGAAGCUGAACUGGAUGUGAUAAGCCANGUUGACUUAUUACCAAGAAAGACCUCGUCCCGUAGAUUAAUUGAACUGAUCGGGGCAGAUGACGACACCUUAAGGAGUAGAGUAUUCGGUAAGAUUCUGUACCCUUCCUAUGACCGAACGGUUCUUAUUAACUUGUCUAAAUUGCCUUCUGUAUUGCAGAUUUGUUCAGCGGGAUGGAGCAACACGAAGCUUUUGCGCGCCUGAUGGCCCGUAAGAAAAAAUUGGUGAAGGCUGGAGAAGGAACAUCAAUGGCUUCACCUGUCGGUGGAUCAACUUGAGGUGUUCCUCCUAUUACCGAUCUUGAAGCUGCGGAAGAUGUGAAGGUGGUUCAACCACCCCCAAAAAAGACCAAGCAGAAAAGGAAAGCAAGUGAAAAAACUCCCUCUCCCCCGAAAAGACAAAAGGUGAAGGGUCCCUUGCUGACCGGCCCAUUAGAUCCGAAAGUGCAUGUAGCCGAUCGAGUUCAGUUCAACCUGACCCCUGAAGAACGAGCCCCUUUCAAAAACAUGACCCCUAGUGAAGCGUACAACAUGGGUUAUGAGCUUAUGAUGCGCGCAGGCGUAUGCAUGAAUUACGCUGCUGGGACCACUAAGCCUUUAGUAGUGGUCGAAUUGGAAGCCGCUAAUCAGAAAGUGGCUGAUCUAAAGAAAGAUAACGAUGCUCUAACCGCUCGUGUGGAAGAACUGACUAAAUCUGCUGAGGAUGCUCGGGUUAAAGCUAAGACUGCCUUGGAGAAUUCUCAGAAGGAAAUAUCAUCCUUGCGAUCGUCCAUUGAUACACUGGAAGCUACUGUGAAAAAGGUUAAGACAACCAAUGCUGAACUGCUGAAGGAUAAGGAUGCUGUUACUGCCGAGCGAGACCUCUUGUUGGCAGAGAAAGCGUCUUUGGAAGACCAAGUUUGUCAAGAGCGUGAAUUAGGGUUUCAACAAGGAAUAGGGCAAUGUCANCAUUUUUUCAACACUCCACUUGAGCAUCCAGAUUUUGACAUACUGAAGGUGUUAGUGAAUGGGGCUCUCGUUGAUCUUUGCGGUUCGGCUUCUCCGGCUACCGAACAUACUCCACCCGACCAGUCAAUUGUUGCACCUGACAACACUAAGCCCCUUUAAGCAAAUGUUUUAAGUACUGCUGUAAAAAACUCUGUUACCUCGACCGUGUGUAUGCCUUUUGUAUGGAUCGUAACUGCCAGUAGUUAAGUACUUAAACAAUUGUGUGCAAUUGCGUUUUGUAUGAAGUACCAUGUUGCCUUCUAUGUUACUCUGUUUGCUACUGCUUUGUUAUUCGGUUGUCGAGAUUUAAGAAUUGCUAAGUAUGACUGAAAGUAACUUAGCUGAUUUUCAUAAAUUUCUCUUUUCUUCUCGCCCGAUCGGGGACCAAUUAUAUGAAUUACAAACAAUGAAGUUAAUUAUCUAACUUCACCCGUUCCCUCCUUCGGAUCACCCGAUCGGAAGUCAAUUAUCUGACUUACAAACAAUGAAGUUAAUUAUCUAACUUCACUCGUUCCCUCCUUCGGAUNNNNNNNNNNNNNNNNNNNNNNNNNNNNNNNNNNNNNNNNNNNNNNNNNNNNNNNNNNNNNNNNNNNNNNNNNNNNNNNNNNNNNNNNNNNNNNNNNNNNNNNNNNNNNNNNNNNNNNNNNNNNNNNNNNNNNNNNNNNNNNNNNNNNNNNNNNNNNNNNNNNNNNNNNNNNNNNNNNNNNNNNNNNNNNNNNNNNNNNNNNNNNNNNNNNNNNNNNNNNNNNNNNNNNNNNNNNNNNNNNNNNNNNNNNNNNNNUAAUUAUCUAACUUCACUCGUUCCCUCCUUCGGAUCACCCGAUCGGAAGUCAAUUAUCUGACUUACAAACAAUGAAGUUAAUUAUCUAACUUCACCCGUUCCCCCUUUUGGAUUACCCGAUCGGAAGUCAAUUAUCUGACUUACACACAAUGAAGUUAAUUAUCUAACUUCACCUGUUCCCCCCUUCGGAUCACCCGAUCAGAAUUUCAAAAUUAUAAAAUAGUGGAAAGAUUGCCUUUAUUCAAGAGAAGAUGUCCCUCAUGGGAUAAUUACAUGAAAAUUAACUAAAAUAAAAUUUCAAGUGGGAAAUGUUCCAAGUAUUGGGAACAACUUUGCCACUUAAGGUUUCCAACCGGUAGGCUCCGUUAUGAAGACUUUCCUUUAUUUUGAAGGGGCCUUCCCAAUUGGCCGAUAGCUUCCCAUGUGUAGGGUCUUUCCUGGCCUCUCCCGUUCGUCUCCAUACCAAAUCUCCCUCAAUAAACUGCCUAGGUUUAACCUUGGUGUUGUAACGUCGGGCAAUGAGUCUUUUGUGGGCUUCGAGUUGAACGGCCGCCAUAUGUCUCCGCUCGGGGAGAAUAUCAAGAUUACUCUUGAGGUGUUCCUCAUUUUGUUCCAAGUUAUCAAUACUUCGUCAUAGUGCAUUCUCUCCAACCUCGACCGGUAACAUUGCAUCCGACCCAUAAGUAAGGUUAAAUGGCGACUCUCCGGUGGCACUAUGUGGGCAGCAUCGAUAUCCCCAAAGUACUUGUUGCAACUCGUCCACCCAUGCUCCCUUGGCCUCUCCUAGUUUUUUCUUUAACUCUUGGACGAUAACCUUAUUCAUGGCCUCAGCUUGGCCGUUCGUUUGGGGAUGCUCAACCGAGCUGGUCAGAGGGGUAAUGUCCAAUUCCUUAUAAAAAGCUACCAAUUUCUUGUCGAUGAAUUGCCGACCGUUAUCAGUGAUAACAUAUUUAGGUAAACCGAACCUACAAAUUAGUUUCCAAACGAACUUUUGUACCUGCGAUGCUGAUAUAUUAGCGAGAGGUUCGGCUUCCACCCAUUUUGUGAAAUAAUCAACUGCAACUAGGAGGAAUUUUAGCUGAGAACGUCCGGUCGAGAAUGGUCCUACUAUGUCCAUUCCCCAUUGAGCAAACGGCCAUGGGGAUACUAUACCUGUCAGGGCAACUGCCGGUGUAUGGAUUAUGUUCCCGUGCUUCUGACAGGCCAAACACUUAGCGACGAAGACUUGGCAAUCCUUUUCCAUAGUUGGCCAGUAGAAUCCUGCUCUCAAAGCUCGGGCUCGCAAUGACUGUCCGCCACCAUGUCUGCCACAAAUCCCCUCAUGCAGCUCGCGCAUAACAUAAUCGGAUUCUUCCUUGGAUAGACACUUUAACAUCGGGGUGACAUAUCCCCUUCUGUAUAGUUCCUCGCCGAUGAUGACAUAUCUUGCAAUUUGCUUUGCUUCUUCCGCCCGAAUGACGAUCCCCUCUUCCUGCCGUUGGAUUAACAGGGAAUCUCUCGUCGCCAAUCGUCUCGGUCGGAAGUGCUGGAUAUAUGGAGACAGUCAAUUGUAGGUUUGAAAAUUAUCUGUCUGACUAGGGAUGACAACUGACCCUUCUUUUUGCCGGUCGUCAGCUUGGAUAGUCUGUCCGCCCGGUGAUUCUCGUUUCUUGGUAUAUGCUGUAUUUCCAGUGAUUCGGAAUAAGACACAAGUUGUUUGGCUUUGUGGAAAUACCUAAGCAACUGAUUGUCUUUAAUUUGAAACGUGUCGUUCAUGUGCCCCUCCACUAGCUGAGAAUCAGUUUUACAUUGAAGCACUUUAACGCCUAGAUCUCGUGCUAAUUCCAAUCCCGCAAUCAAGGCUUCAUAUUCUGCUUGAUUAUUGCUAACCUUAAACCGGAAGAUUAAAGCUUGCUCAAUGGCUACCCCGUUCGGUCCCUCCAAAACUAUCCCCGCUCCUCCUCCUCGAUAACCGGAGGACCCGUCCACGUACAGUACCCAUGAACGCCGAUUAGUAUCACUCCCGGGCAAUUCAGCCGCAAAAUCUGCCAAAUGCUGUCCUUUCACCGAUCCUCUUGGUUCGUAUCUCAAUCCGAACUCAGAUAGCUCAAUGGACCAACCGAUCAUCCUUCCCGCAAGGUCCGGUUUACGCAGAAUCUUCGAAAUGGGAUGAUCGGUUCGAACCACUACCUGGUUUCCUUGUAGAUAUGGGCGGAGUCUUCUGGUGGCAAUGACCAAUGCCAGAACUAUCUUUUCUAGCUGUUGAUAUCGUGUCUCCGGUUCUUUUAACACUCUGCUAACAAAGUAUAUAGGCCGGAACUCUGGGGUUUCCUGGACCAACGCUGCACUGACAGCCUCUUCUCCGACUGCCAAAAAUAAAUGCAAAUCAUGACCGUAAUCAGGACGUCUCAUGACCGGCGGAUUAGUGAGUAUUUGUUUUACUUCAUUGAAUGCCAUCUCACACCGCUCAUCCCAUUCCCCUGGCGUCUGCUUUUUCAUUACCUUCAAAAUUGGCUGGAUACGAUCGGCCAAUUUGGGUAUGAACCUGGAUAAAGACGUUAGUCUGCCCACUAACCUCUGUACCUCUUUUAGAUUACUGGGACUUCGCAUUUCUAAAAUCGUCCGGCAUUUAUCUGGAUUUGCCUCAAUGCCUCGCGUUGUCAACAUGAAUCCCAAAAAUUUGCCUGCUGCGACACCGAACGUGCACUUAAGAGGGUUCAAUCUCAUGCCAAACUUUCGUACCUGGUGGAGAACUUCUUCUAGGUCUUGCAGGUGUUCCUCCACCGACCGGCUCCUCACCACCAUGUCAUCAACAUAUACUUCCAUACAUUUCCCUAUUUGGUUCUGGAACACCUUAUCCAUCAACCUUUGAUAAGUUGCUCUUGCAUUCUUUAGUCCGAACGGCAUCACCUCAUAGCAAUAGUUUGACCGCUCUGUUAUGAAAGCUGUUUUUUCUUGAUCUGGCCGGUACAUUGGGAUCUGAUUGUAUCCCGAAUAAGCAUCCAAAAAACUCAAAAUUUCAUACCCAGAAACUCCGUCCACCAAUCCAUCUAUGCUCGGGAGGGGGUAUGUGUCUUUUGGACAUGCUUUGUUGAGAUCAGUGAAGUCUGUGCACAUUCUCCAUUUUCCGUUCGGUUUUUUCACCAUGACCACAUUAGACAGCCAUGUGGUAUAUUUUACUUCCCUUAUAAAGCCUGCUUCCAACAACUUAGCCACCUCGUCGUCCACUGCCCUUCUCUUUUCAUGUGACCAAGUGCUUUUACCAAAGAAAAUUGAAAUUGCAAAUGGCCUAGAACACUUGGCCGAGACUCUAUGCUGCACCAAUUGCUAUCAAAUUAAAUGUGCUUCCACCGUUUCAAUGAAAAAGGUAAAUUAAAAAUGCAAUGAGUGGAUUGUUGCUGCCAUAGAUUCAAUUGCAUCCAUGUGCGGUUUCUAUUUGAAUCAACGCUGCUGGACCGUUUUUGAAAGCAAGGAAAUGAAUAAUUGCAUGCUUAAUAAAAAAAUUGCAUUAACCAAAUGAAGCUUCAUGGAUAAACAUCAGCUAUAACAAGUAUUUCUGCUGCCACCGUGAUGAAUUAGCAUUUGAUGGCAAUGAAUGAAAGUAAAAAAAAAAAAGAAAUCACCGUGUGCUGUUACUUGAAUCAAAGUUUUCCUAACUGUAUGAUGGCAAGUCGUGAAGCUGUGUGUUUCCCAUUAAUCACGCUCUUCCAAAUAAAAGAAAACAUAUGUCCUUCUAACAUUUAUCCACAAUCCAAGACAGCAAACAUGGUUCCCAUCAAAGCUCCCUAGAAAAAAAUGUUCCAGGCCAAGAAGAAGUAAAGAGUAAGUGGCGGCCGGUAGGAAUCUCCCUAGGGUUCUGUGCUUCUUCAACCUCAGGACAGGACCGUGUGCACCUCCAUGAUUGCUGGACACACCUCCACUUGCUCAUGGGCCAUAAUUGCUCCAAGCACACAUUUCUUCCUAGCUGGACCGUGGAGGCUGCUGCCUCAAUUUGGGCCGUCUAAGUGCAUGGGCUGCAUCUCCAAUCUUAAAAGAAAUUAAAUGUUGCCGUGACCAUGGUGUGUGCAUGGAAGUAUGGCAGCUCUUGCUGGAUUCUUCUCUUUUCCAAUUGAACUCCACGGUGGUGGCAGCUUACAUAACUUCAAGUUAAAUCACCAAGCUGCUGUGUGCACCCCACUUUUUCAAUGUUUGCACCCCUUUUCAUAAGCCAAGGAAUAGAAUGACCAUAGUACCCUCCUUCUUGAACACACUUGUUUUAUGGAGAGUCUAGAAUUAUGUGACAAUUCUCAAUAUGUCCAAAAUUAUAUUUCCAAAAUUUUCCCUGCAAAUAAUAAUGCAAAUAAUUAGCUCAGAAAAUUCAAAUUAAUUAAAAUUCGAAUUUCCGGUCAAAUUAAGCACAAUUAGUAGAAACGGGAAAAUACCGGACAUUUAAACACAAUUCCCUGAUUAAUUUCGGUACAAUAAACUAAGUGCAGUCAAUAAAAUAUCGACUCAUCACCCAACCUCCGCUUCCUCUGUGACACGGGCCGGGCAUCUCUUAUUAGUGACAGUUUAUGAGAAAUAAUGUCAGGAUGAAUUCCUGGCAUGUCAGCCGCUGUCCACGCGAACAGGUCUUUAUUUUGUAUAAGAAGUUCUUCAAUUAGCGUAGCUUGAUCGGUACUGAGGUUACGCCCAAUGGUUGUGCAUUGGUCUUCCCGUUCUCCGAUGACUAAAGGACGCAUAUCACCUAAAGGCUCUACUCGUUCGUCCAAAUGGGUUCGGGGGUCUAAUUCCAUCAUGGCAACUUCUGAUUGAGUAGCUCGAAAAGCCGUCGGUCGGGGCUUUACUUUUAAGCCUGCUGCAUAACAUUCUCGAGCCAUCUUCUGAUCGACCCGAACAGUGCAUACUUGCCCAUCAUCGGCAAGAUACUUCAAAGUCAGAUGCGGAGUCGAGACAAUAGCCCCGAACAUGUUCAAACACGGUCGUCCAAGGAGAACGUUAUAUGACGUGUCGGCCUCCACUAACAAGAAACGCACCUUUACUUCUUUGGCCUUCUUGUCAGCUCCCAGACUAGUCCUCAAGUCUACAUACCCUUUUGUGUCCACCCUUUCCCAGCAAACCCCACAAUUUGCUCAUUGAAAGGCAUGAUAGCAUCCUCUGAUAUCUCCAUUUGCUUGAAUGUCUUCCAGUAGAGGAUAUUGGCUGAACUGCCUUGAUCUACAAGAACUUUGCUGACUUGGUAUCUAGCAAUCAUGGCCGUUAUGACCAUCGGGUCAUCUUGCUCCAGAUCAGGUGCAUGAAAAUCUUCAUCUGUGAAUGUGAUAGCUGGCAUAGAUCUCCUGGACGAGCCCGAUCGGUUGGAACUAUGCAAAUUUCUGAGGUGCCUCUUUCUGGCUGCUGAUGUUGAACCGCCGCCUGCAAAUCCUCCAGAAAUCGUGUUGAUUACUCCCCUGACAACCCGUUCGGCACUCCUGCUUCUACUCCGAUCGGUUCUUUGCUGACUUCUCACUUGCGGGUUUCGUUGAGUUGUUGGUGGCCUGAUUCUCCCCGUCGACCCUCUUCUCUGGACGAACCUUUGCAAAUGUCCCGCCUGAACGAGGGCUUCUAACUUGUCUUUUAACGUGAUACAAUCUUCUGUGGUGUGUCCACGAUUUUGAUGAUACCGACAAUGCUUGCUUUCGUCAGCUCUAGCCGGUGUAGGUACUUGCACAACUGCUAUUAGAUCCGCCCUUAACGCCUCCUCCAACACUCUCGUUCGGGGUGCAUUUAAUGGAGUGUGAUGUAUGUACCUCUGCAUCCUGCUUCGAUCCUUGCCUCUGAGACCUGCUCCUCUGUCUCUUCUACUGACCGGAUGUUCAAUCCCUCCACGUACUGCACGAACUGAUGACUCGCCGUCGUCUCUACCUCGGUGGUGGGCUCUUCCUUCUUCUAUCCGAAUGAAGCUGGCAAGUCUAUUUUGCAACUCAUCCAUGCUUUGUGGCUCUUCAGCAUGCAAAUAGUCACAAAAUGGUCCUGGCCUUAAGGCGGUGGUCAACGCACUCACAAUCAAUCUCUGGUCUGCGUUUCGUACCUGCCGAGCGGUGCGGCUGAACCGAUCCAUGAAUGAUUUAAGGGACUCGUCGCGUCCCUGUCUCAGCCUGACUAGCGCUGUAUACGUCAUCCCGGGCGUUUUGUUUGCAGCGUAUUGUUGAGUAAAUAAUUGCCUGAGUUCAGCAAAAUUACCGAUCGUGCCUGGUUGCAAAGAGUGAAACCAAUCUAACGCCUCUUCUUUGAGAGAAAAAGAGAACACCCGACACCAUACCAACUCAUCCGAUGAGUAUACUGCCAUUGCGUCUACAAAAGAUCACAAAUGUUUGACAGGAUCAGACGCUCCUCCGUAUCUUUCAAUUGUAGGCAAGACCUUGUUUUCGGGUAUGACCGCUCUCAUCACCCUUGUUGUGAAGGGGUGUAGACCCUCAGCCUGAUCGGUUUGUUCCUGCUCUCGUCUUGGGGUUUGUUCUCGUUCUCGCCUUGGAGUCUGCUGUCUCUCUUCCAUGUGAGGAAUUUCACCUCUGCCAUUACCUCGACCACCCCCAUGUCCUCUUCCCCUACUCCCAACCCUGCUUCCCGGCCUUCCUUCACCCCGACCUACUCCUUGGCCGUUAACUCCUCCAACUCCUUCGCUAGGCAUAGGGUUGUGAUUCUCCUGUCGUUCCUCUCCUUGGAUAUGAGGUUGUUCCCCGGUGUCUGAGUGAUAUGUCUCCACAUUGACAGAGCGGUCGGAAUGACCUCCUACCCUGUUCGCUUGCUCCGCCCUCAAUGUUUCAAUUUCUGCCCUCAUUUCCUGAAUCUGUCGCUGCAGAUCUUGCAAUAACUGCAAAGGUACUUCUCCUGCCAUCGUGGUCGUUUCUAGGUCGUAAAAGAGAAUCUCGGGCCCCACGGUGGGCGCCAAAAUGUUUUGGAUGGGAACCAAGACACCGAUCGCCUAUGGAUUACGAUGACACGCUGGACUUCUUUAACUAAGUGUUUCAGGAUUCUUAUCUCUCCUUACCCGAACGGCUGCAACCUGCAAGUUAGCACUCCGACGAUCAAGUCAACAAGGCUACAGCUAUAUUAUCAAAGUAAUGAGUAAAAAUCCAACCCUUUACCUGACUGCUUACUCUCCUAUUUAUAGGUGAUAAGUUUGGNNNNNNNNNNNNNNNNNNNNNNNNNNNNNNNNNNNNNNNNNNNNNNNNNNNNNNNNNNNNNNNNNNNNNNNNNNNNNNNNNNNNNNNNNNNNNNNNNNNNNNNNNNNNNNNNNNNNNNNNNNNNNNNNNNNNNNNNNNNNNNNNNNNNNNNNNNNNNNNNNNNNNNNNNNNNNNNNNNNNNNNNNNNNNNNNNNNNNNNNNNNNNNNNNNNNNNNNNNNNNNNNNNNNNNNNNNNNNNNNNNNNNNNNNNNNNNNNNNNNNNNNNNNNNNNNNNNNNNNNNNNNNNNNNNNNNNNNNNNNNNNNNNNNNNNNNNNNNNNNNNNNNNNNNNNNNNNNNNNNNNNNNNNNNNNNNNNNNNNNNNNNNNNNNNNNNNNNNNNNNNNNNNNNNNNNNNNNNNNNNNNNNNNNNNNNNNNNNNNNNNNNNGAACCCGAUCACAUUGCCGGUAUGACCGAUCAUACUACCGGUGUGACCGAUCAUUCCAAUAUGGUCGGUUACCCCAUCGUACAUAGGCCCCCCAAACUAAAAUAAUUAUUCUCAUAAAUUUACGUUUUUAUUACAUGACAAGCAGUCAAAGUAUGAUAUAUACAAAGUGCAUGAUUUUCUAACACUUCUAAAAAAUUAAAGCUCUAAUAUUUUUAUUUACUCACCGAAGAUUGUUCACAGGAGAGACACAUUCACUUUAGAAUUAUUGAAAAUAAGUAUCGACACGGCUUUUGUCAAUCGAAAACAUUAAUAUUUUUUGGAUAGCUUCUGUACUGGGACCCUGGACGGUCGUGAACGGGCGUCUCCCAUUGGCACAGUGGAACGGACAGUCAAUACAAGAAAGCACGAGAUUGACACAAUAAAUUAGAUUAAGGUAAGUUAGGAUUAAGGAUUAUUAGAUCAUGAUUGGGUCUCGAUUAAGGUUUCACUAACCCCAAGCCCAUAACUAUCACUAUAUAUAGAGGUCAAAGGUAAGAGGUAAGGGGAUUCAUUUAUUGCGCAUUUAAUACUGAGUUCUGAUUACCGAACGGACUUGAGAAUUAACUUAAGCAUUGGAGUGUCUUUAACAUAUAUCCUCCCAAGCGGACUUUGGUAGAAGUGGACUGACGAGUUAGGAAUGAACGAGAAGAGGACGGUCGGCCGAGGAGUAAAAUUAUGAAAGGUUUGUGUAGCUCGACCUCACACCGGAACAGCUUCCCAAUAUAAAGGUAACAAUUAGAUUUUCAUAUUUCCAACCAAAUUUCUAGAACUAAAUCCUGCUAUAAGUGCCUCUUUGAAAGAAACCGUUCUUGAAAGAAAAUAGAAUACUUCUUUGAAUGUAAUAUGAUACCAGGUAUUCCAUUCCUUAACUAUUUUGGGAUUUUUUUCUCUGACAUAGCACGGAUUCUCUUUACAAUUACCAAAAUAGCAUAUUGUACGUUUUAUUUACCUGAAUAUCACACUUUUUUGUUAGGUUAGAAUUUGGUUUCUCAAAAACUGAAUUCUGAGUUAUAAUUUUUUUUUUCUUUAUAAUGUUAGGUUAUAAUUUCGUUUAUUGGAAACCGAAUUCUGAUUUUAUAUAUAUAUAUAUAUAUAUAUAUAUAUAUAUAUAUAUNNNNNNNNNNNNNNNNNNNNNNNNNNNNNNNNNNNNNNNNNNNNNNNNNNAUAUAUAUAUAUAUAUAUAUAUAUAUAUAUAUAUAUAUAUAUAUAUAUAUAUAUAUAUAUAUAUAUAUAUAUAUAUAUAUAUAUUUUAAUCUUAAGUUAGAAUUGGGAAACCGAAUUCUGAAUUAUAUAUUUUAUUUUUUUUAUAAUUAUAUAUUAGAAUUUGGUUUUUAGGAAACUGAAUUCUAAGUUUUUUUUUUUUUAAUUUUAGGUUAUAAUUUUGUUUGAAUUUUUUUUUAAGAUUUUUAUUUUUUAAGUAUUUAUAGAAAAGCACCUAAAACACCUUUCUUUUCAACAAUUCAAUUGCCUAUGUGUUUAUUGGUAUACUAAACACCACUUAUGACCAUUAAACUCACUCACUCAUCUAAAAUAAGAAACAUGAAACAAUAACUUCAAAGUAAACGUAUUUAGGAAGCUUAGAAAAAUGUUUUUUUUGGAAAAUUAACUGCAUUAGUAUAGUGGUCUAAAAAUUAUGGGUUGAUAUUCAUUUGAAAGCUCUUUGAGUCUAGAUUCCAACAAAAUAAAAAUCAACGCAUUUGGAGUUCGGUGGAGAAAGUUACGAGUAAAACAACCACCAAAGGUCAGAGUUGGCAGGAAUAUAUAAAGCCUUAACUUUAAGGAAUUAAAUGCACCUACUCAGAUGUCCAAAAUUACAAAUUAGUAGUCAUUGAAAAGCUUAUUGAUUCUAGUUUCUAAUAAAAAAAGAAUGACAUCAUUUAGAGGUCGGUGGGAAAAGUUAUCAUUAAAAUAGUCAGCAAAUUAACUUGGUCAUGACACCAAUAUUGGGUCUUUCCUCCACCAAGUACUGCCCACAACCCAAUUUUCAGGAUAUACUCACACUUAAUGAUUAAAAAGAACUCUCAUCCAUUCAAGAAAUAUGAAAAAUUAAGUAAAAUGUCUUUCGCUACUUAUGUGCCCACAACUGGUUCCUACAGUACAAGUUUUUGUACAAAACCAGAUUUUUUUUCGUGUAAUAGUUUACAGGGUCCUUGUAAUCGAUUACAAUGGUCAAAUCGGCUUAAACUUGAUUAGGAAGGAAUUAACUCCACCUAUUCAUAUGUCCAAAAAUUACAAAUUAGUAGUCAUUGGAAAGUUUAUUGAGUCUAGUAUUUUUUAUGAAUAAAGAAGUUUCUUAUGAAUAAUUUGGAAGUUGCAUAUGCUGAAGUGUUUUCUUUUUUGUUUUUUCUUAUACAGUGUUAUUUCUCUUCUUUUUUUUCGGUUUUGUUUUCUUUAAAUUGAAUGUGUUAUGGUUGUAUUAAGAAUUGUUUCAUGAUACAAAAUACUAAGUUAAUUCCACAUCCUUAAACUAUUCAGUGUUAUACAAAGGAACUAAAAUAAUUAAACUAGUAUUUUAAUUUUUUAUUAAAUUAAGUGUAAAUAAAGGGAAUAUAAAAUUAUGAUUAUAUGUUAAGAGUUGCUUAAAAUUCAAUCAUUGGAAUUAAAGUGGUAUCGUAUAUCCAAUAAAGCAAUUUAAGACACACUCAAUUAAGUUUUAGCAUAGUGGAUGCUUUUAAUGUCUUUUGUUUUCCGCUCACAUAUCUGGAUUACUAUCUAAUUUUGUGAAGGAAGUUUCAAAAUUCAAAUAGGCAAGAUAAAACUAACAGAAGCCAUAUACAUCACAUCAUAAUCAUUUUUUUAUUCAUGAUAUCUUAUAUAAUUCCGAACAAAGAGAAAGAUACUGUAGGAUGAAAGAGUACAUGAUCACACAAUGCAGAAAUGCCUUAUUUAAUUUAAGGAUAGUAUUCAUGGCAUGAUAGUUUAGUUAACCCUAUUUAGCAUACCAAAGAAGAUGACCGUCAGGAAAGAAAUGACACAGGACUGGUCCCAGGCUUGACUUUGAGAACUUGCAUUGCCAUAUGGUCUGGAUUCCAUUCUGAUGUGUCUUUGUGGCACACUGCUAUGGCUUUAACCCUAGUUCCAUCUUCUCCCUCCAAUGGCAUAAAACGUGCAGUGCUAUUUGAUAUCUUAUGGCAGUAAAACACAACAUAUGGGUAAUUCAUUGGAUGACAUGCAAUUGUCUCUUCUUCUCCUAAAAUCUUCACUCCAUCUUUAACUAUGAACUCUUGGGACUUGCUUUCAAUUUCUACCUCUGUAGAAGUAACAUGGACGUUCUUGCCAAGUUUAGAAAUGACAAAGUCUACCAUGAUUCUACUGAGGUUGCACAGUGUUUUUCUUCACCAUUCAUUGUAGGUGCUUCACACAUCUCCAGAGAUUUCUCCACAUUCUUAGCAUUCAAUGACUCUGGCUUCACAGAAAAAAUUUCUAAUAUUUCAUUUAUCUUUUCUGAUGGGAAUGGUAUGUGUUCUGUAAUUUCGCGAGGUAACAACGGGGCUAAAUAUUUAAUUUUAGGAAAGAAAAUAUCAAAUUUUUCUACCCGCUUCAAUCCUUUUCGAAGAAAAAUACAAUUGAUUUAUCAAUUGAUCUAGAGUGAUCAUGAUGAUGAUGAUUAGCAACUGGAACUACCUCUCGAAGAACAACAUUUUCCUUUGAUUUAGGGUCAUAAGGUGUCUUAUCUCGUGAUGGAAUUUCUUUGCCAUCAUAUCGUGAUGGAAUUUCUUUGCCACCAUCUUGCAAUUCGAAUUUGUUGGAGGGCCAGGACCAUACAAAAUAGGGAUAUGGACGUUGUUCUGGUGAAAUCAUUUUAUCAUCAUCUUGCAAUUCGAAUUUGCUCGAGGGCCAGGACCAUACAAAAUGGGAUAUGCACGUUGUUCUGGUGAAAUCUUUUUAUCAUUAUCUUUCAAUUCGAAUUUGCUGGAGGGCCAGGACCAUACAAAAUAAGGAUAUGCACGUUGUUUUGGUGAAAUCUUUUUAUCACCAUCUUGCAAUUCAAAUUUACUGGAGGGUCAGGACCAUACAAAAUAGGGAUAUGCACGUUGUUCUGUUGAAAUCUUUUUAUCAUCAUCUUACAAUUCGAAUUUGCUGGAGGGCCAGGACCAUACAAAAUAGGGAUAUGCACGUUGUUCUGGUGAAAUCUUUUUAUCAUCAUCUUGCAAUUCGUAUUUGUUAGAGGGCGAGGACCAUAACGGAAAUUGUUCUGGUGAACCAGAAAUCUCUUUUUGUACUUUAAUCUCUUUGAAAUCUUUCAUACCAAAAAAGAAAACGUGAUGUUUAAUAUUAAAAGAAACAUAUAUAUGAAGUAAUUAAUAGUGGUGAAAUUAUAUUCUUUAAUUUCUCUACAUUUUAUUUUUCUUUUUCACUUAAAUCACUUUUUCAGAUUUUAUCAUGAGUAAUUUAGACAAAAUCAAAUUCAUGUCUUCCAUAAUUGUUUUUAUUUAAAAAGUUGAGCUUGGCUAUUUGAAAUUUUAAAUUGAACUAAUUAGUUUCCAAACUCUUUAAAUGUCGAGAGUAAAAGUUUACAUGACUAUUUGAGAGAUUAUUUGGAAAUCCAUAGUGACCAUAUGUAAAAUGUAUAAAUUUUAUUUUCAUAUAUUGAAAAAAAAAAAUAAUCAAGUGUUUUUAAAAUCAAAAUAAAAUAUAUAUUUUUUAAUUAUAAUGUUAUACAUAUAGUUUAUAUAAUUUAACUAGUAAACAUUUAUAUUUAUCUGAAUUGAAAAUUGUUACGGGUUGAAAAGUUAAAAUAAAUUUACAAAUUUAUUUUUACUGAAAAAAAAAAGAAUAUUUGCAACUAAAAUAGAAAAAGAAUGUAUAAGGACAAGACCUCUAUAGAAAAGACAAACAAAAUCACUUUUAAAACCAAAGAACACACAAAGACAAUUACGGACUCUAAUAAGACCCCUAAAACUUGAGACAAACACUGCAAACUCUAAUGUGACAAAGUCACACCUAAACCUGAAACACAAACAAAUACACUAAAAUUAAAGAAAGCAAUAAAAGCUGCCAAGAGUUGGAAAGAGCACUAAGAACUCUUCCAAUCUACUUAGACAGAUAACAUUAAACUUGUUUUAAGCUUUCUUUUAUCUUUUAAUUUUUAAGGCUUUUAGUUUGUUUUUGUCAAAAGACAUCAUUUUGACCUGUUUUGUUUUUUAGAGCUAAGCUCAAUACCUUUUUCAAGUAUGAUAAGCAUCAAGCAUUUAACUCCAACUCUCUUAGAUGUUUUAGGCACAAUAACGUUUAAUCCUACAUUUGGGUGUUUUAACCUUGAUGUUUUCCUAUUACCUAAGAACCUAAGUGUUUUCAUAAGCUUUUCUAUGUUGGAGAUUCAGGUUCUAAGUUUUAUGUAGGUUUUCUAUGUUGAGGAUUCAGGUUCUAAGUUUUGUAUUUUCAUCCUAAAUUAUUAUCCCGUUUAAUGUUAUUUAUGUUUAAUAUUUUUAUUUUUAUUUAAGUUAAAGUCCAUUAAUAGAGAAUGCUAAUUAAAAAAACUAACAAAUAUUAAAAAAGAAAAUUUAACAUAGGUUUAACAAAUAUUAACAAUAUUUAUUUUUAAUAUUUAUGUUUAUUUAAGUUUGCAUUCGUUAAGUUAAUAUUAACCAUUAAAAAAUUAAAAUAAAUAUUACAAAUAAAAAUAAAUAUAUAUAUUUUAAUUUUUGUGUUUUUCUUAUAUUAAUAUGGAAUAUUAAUAUGGAAUAUAGAUUCUAGGAGUUCUCUUUGGAAUUGUUCCCUAGACUGGGCAGAAAAUGCUAGGAGUUCUCUUUGGAGCUUUUUCCUGUGGAAGAUAUUUUCACCCCAAAAAGUAUGUCUUUAAAUAAAAUAAAGUAAACACUUCAAUAUUAUUAUAAAUAAAAUGGCAUCAGAACCUAACAAAGCCGAACGUAGGUGAUCUGAGUAAGAAGGGACUGAACCUGUUGAGUAGUCGACUGAUAGGAGUUCUUCUUCGAACUUUCUGCGUUGAGCGGGGAUUUCUGAAGCUAUUUUUCUUACUUCCCCCGAGCGGCUUGAGGCAAGAUUCAUUUUUCUGAGUUCCUGCAUUGAGCGGGGAUAUCUAAAGCUAUUUUUCUUACUUCCCCCGAGCGACUUAGGCAUGAGUCAUUUUUCUGAGUUCCUGCAUUGAGCGGGGAUUUCUAAAGCCAUUUUUCUGACUUCCCUCGAGCGGCUUGAGGCAAGAGUCAUUUUUCUGACUUGCUGCGUUGAGCGAGGAUUUCUGAAGCCAUUUUUCUGACUUCCCCCCGAUUGGCUUGAGGUAGGAGUCAUUUUUCUGACUUCCUACGUUGAGUGAGGAUUUCUGAAGCCAUUUUUCUGACUCCCCCCCGAGCGUUUGAGGCACGAGUCAAUCUUCUGACUUCCUACAUUGAGCGGGGAUUUCUAAAGCCAUUUUUUCUGACUUUCCCCUAAGCGGCUUGAGGCAGGUGUUAGUUUUCUGACUUCCUCCGUUGAGCGGGGAUUUCUGAAGCCAUUUUUCUUAUUUCCCCCCGAGCGGCUUGAGGCACAAGUCAUUUUUCUGACUUCCUGCGUUGAACGGGGAUUUCUGAAGCCAUUUUUCUGACUUCCCCCUGACCGGCUUGAGGCAGGAAUUAUUUUUCCGACUUCCUACGUUGAGCGGGAAUUUUUGAAGCCAUUUUUCUGAUUUCCCCUAGAACGGCUUGAGGCACGAGUCAUUUUCUUAACUUCCUAUGUGUAGCUGGAAUUUCUGAAGCUAUUUUUCUUACUUCGCCCGGAGCGACUUAAGGUAGGAGUUAUUUUUUUAACUUCCUUGAACAACAAGUUGUAGAUGAUUGAAUAUUCUUGUGCAAAACCUUUUCUCCCAAAAAACAUGUGUUAAAGCAAAAUAUUUUAUAAUCUAUUUUUAUAAUGACAUGACAUUAGAACUUGAUAAGGUUGAACGUUGGUUUGAACCUUUUCCUGUGCAGGAUAGUUUUACUCACAAAAUUAUGAGUUGAAUAAAAUAUUCAAAAUUUUAUUUUACAAUGAAAUGACACUAGAACUUGAAAAGGUUGAACGUAGGACUGAACCUUUCUUUGUAGGAUAUUUUUACUCACAAAAAUAUGCGUUAAAUAAAAUAUUCAAUAUUUUAUUUUUAUAAUGAGAUGACAUUAGAACCUAAUAAGAUUGAACGUGGAUAUGAAUCUUCCUGCACAUGAUAUUUUUAUUUAUAAAUAUAUGAGUUAAAUAAAAUAUUUAUUUUUAUAAUGAGAUAACAUUAGAACCUCAUAAGGUUGAAAGUUGGUCUGAACCUUCUGCACAAGAUAUUUUUACUCAUAAAAAUAUGAGUUAAAUAAAAUAUUUAUUUUUAUAAUGAGAUAACAUUAGAACUUGAUAAGGUUGAACGUUGAUCUGAACCUGCACAGGAUAUUUUUACUCCUAAAAAUAUGAGUUAAAUAAAAUAUUUAUUUUUAUAAUAAAAUAACAUUAGAACCUCAUAAGGUUGAACGCUUUUCUGAACCUUUCUGCACAUGAUAAUUUUACUCAUAAAAAUAUGAGUUAAAAAAAAAUAUUUAUUUUUAUAAUGAGAUAACAUUAGAUCUUGAUAAGGUUGAACGUUGUGCAGGAUAUUUUUACUCAUAAAAAUAUGUGUUAAAUAAAAUAUUUCACAUUUUAUUUUUACAAUGAGAUGACAUUAGAACCUGAUAAGGUUGAACAGUAAACUGAACCUUCCUGUGGAGGAUAUUUUUACUCACAAAAAUAUGAGUUAAACAAAAUAAAAUAAAUGCUUCAACAUAUUAUAAUUUAUAAAUUAUAAUAAAAAGUGGAACCAGAUUAGGUUGAAAGUUAAAUUGAACCUUCCUUUGGAGGAUAUUUUUAUUCACAAAAAGAUGAGUUAAACAAAAUAAAAAUUAUAAUUUAUAAAUUAUAAUAAAAAGUAUUGGAACCUGACAACAUAUAUGAUUGAACCUUCCUGAAAGUUCUCAAAACAAAAGACAUGCAUUUAGAAAUUAUUAUAAAUUUUUUUUCUCUUGUUGCAAAACCUGGUAUUAAUCUGAAGUAGCAACGUCAAGACCGUGGGUGCGUGUAGUUCUUCGUGGUUUCAUGGGGAUGUCGCUCGGCCCCACGUUGGCACCAAAAUGUUUUGGUUGAAUUUGUCCGAUGGUCGGUCGUCCUUCCUUGCUCUACUUCACUCUUCGAUCUUCCCAUCCUCUUCAAAUACGCAAUCCACUCUGAUGGGAUGUUGACCUACAGAAGACACUUUGAGACUCAAGUCAGAUAUGUUUCAUAAGGAGGUCUAUAUUUUAUUAGGAUAGAAGAUGAUGUCUUUACCUGAACAUCGAUCGUAUAUUUAUAGGGCUUGUGACAGCCAAACACGUUGAUUAACCAUUAACGCAAUAUAUUUUUAGGCAAUCAAACCCAAUAAUUAACCAUUAAUAUUGUAUAUUUGUAAAGAGUAAGGCAAUCUCACCCAUUAAUACAUGAUAAUUGUCCAUGAAUGGCCAUUAACUCUAACCAGUAUAAUACAUAAUGGCGCUCGGCCUCGCGGUGCGCGCCAAAAUGUUUCGGUUGAAUUUGUCAGAUGGUCGGUCGUCCUUCCUGGCUCUACUUCAUGCUUCGAUCUUCCCAUCCUCUUCAAGAACGCAAUCCACUCUUAUGGGAUGUUAACCUGUAGAAGACACUCGUUCAAGUCAGAUAUGUUUCAUAGAGAGGUCUAUAUUUUAUUAGGAUAAAAGAUGAUGUCUUUAACUGAACAUCCAUUGUAUAUUUAUAGAGCUUGUAGCAGACAAGCAUGUUGAUUAACCGUUAACGCGAUAUAUUUUUAGGUAAUCAAACCAAAUAAUUAACCACUAAUACCAUAUAUUUGUGAAGUGUAAGGCAAUCUCACCCAUUAAUACUUGAUAAUUGUCCAUGAAUAACUAUUAAUUCCGAUCGGUAUAAUAUAUAUAUAUAUAUAUAUAUAUAUAUAUAUAUUAUUGACCAUUAUUAUAAAUUAUGCACUAAACGUAGACAUAUGGAUACAAUUCAUGCUAGAUAAUAUUUAGUCAUCAUAAUCCAUUAUCCAUUGUACUUUACACGCAUGUCAUAAAUAGAUAAUAUUUAGUCAUAGGAUCUAUUUUAAAAAUUCUAUUUAUGUUUUAAAAUAAAAUUUUUUGGGUUCACUAAUUAUCUUAUUAACAACAGUACUUAAAUUCAUAUUUUAUAUUUUAUAACUUUAUGAGAAAAAAUAUUUUAGUUUAGAAGUUAAUUAUUAAUAUUUUUAUAAUAAAAUUAAAUAAAUGAAUGAUAAUAGUUGUUUGAUAAGAUAUUUGCUUUCAAUUAUUGUUUCCAUCUAUUUCAUAUCGUCUUUUACCCUGAUGAUUGGAAACUACCAAACUGUUUCCACAUAAUUCGAAAAAAAAAAUCAUAAAACGACAACUUAAGGUUGCGGACAGCUUCGAAAAGCAGUUGUCCUAAGAGUUAUUUAUCAAUCAUAUCGUAGUAUAUGUUUAAAAUAAAUGAUUUUCUAAAGUGUAAAAAUGAUUUUGUGAAGGAAAAAAGAAACUAUAAAAGAACUUGUGUUACACGACAACUACUUUUACUCAUGACGUGGACCGGCUCUAAUGCCAAGGCAAUCAUACAACUUCAAUACUUUAUGUGGAUUAAAGAAAAAGUAAAAGAAAGAUAAACAUUGUAUGGAUGAGAAAGUUAAAUUAAGGGUACAUACAAUAUAAUUGUACUGUCACACUCCUUGACAGUGUAACUAUAAGAAAAAAUUGCAUGUUCGAAUGUAAAAAAUAAAAAUAAAAAUAAAAAUAAAUAAAUAAACAAGUAAAUUAAGUCCCAUUUUUUGUAACUAAAGUAUAAAAUGGUUAACUUUACUUUUAAUUUAUUUUGCAAACACGCAAAAACAUUGUUUAAUGUUGGUUAUUUUGAGCUUUUAACGUCUAAUUUUAAACCGACGUCUAAAUCGGUGAUGUCAAUGGGACAUCCGACAUCCUAACCACAUAGAUUUAUAAUGAUGUCAGCUAGUGUCCACGAACAACGUCAAUAAACGUCGACACUAGUUUGAAUGGACGUCUAAAGGCACUAAUUAGACGUCGGAUAACGCAUUAACCGACGUCGAAGAGCACAUAUAGACGUCGAACAUGACAAAGACCGACAUCUAAAGUCCCUAUAGACGUCAGUUUUUGCAUUAACCGACGUCUAAUACAGUGGUUGUGUUUUAGUGCAGUUUUGUUCCC